UUAAUUGAAACCAAAAAGCGGUAUGUCACUGUUAAUGACAAAAUUGAAUGUUAUUUCCAAUUAAA
Molecule: transfer RNA, 65 nt
Filed under: Epicauta gorhami
Lineage: Eukaryota; Metazoa; Arthropoda; Insecta; Coleoptera; Meloidae
Description: tRNA-Asn
Source: RNAcentral